UGAAGCCCAAACAUUUCUUUUUAGUUUAUUGUUUAUUUGUCAGGGACAAUGUACAAAUAUAUUAAUCUCAAAGAAAAGAGAUGCUUUGCACCAGAGUUAGCUACAAGCUACUGUCCAUCUGCUG
Sphaeramia orbicularis (orbiculate cardinalfish) is the source of this 124-nucleotide long non-coding RNA. RefSeq lists it as uncharacterized. The transcript is spliced from 3 exons. The record is from RefSeq and is a predicted model, not a curated record. Lineage: Eukaryota; Metazoa; Chordata; Actinopteri; Kurtiformes; Apogonidae.